UUAAUGUCUUGUAAUUGGAAUGAUGGGAAUUUAAACCUCUUCCAGAGUAUCAAUUGGAGGGCAAGUCUGGUGCCAGCAGCCGCGGUAAUUCCAGCUCCAAUAGCGUAUAUUAAAAUUGUUGCAGUUAAAAAGCUCGUAGUUGAAUUUCUGCUGCAUUUCAUUUCUCUUUCUGAGUUUGUUUUUGCGGCUUAUUUCGGUUUGAUUUUUUCUUUCCGGAUGAUUACUUUGAGAAAAUUAGAGUGCUCAAAGCAGGCUUUUGCCUUGAAUAGUUUAGCAUGGAAUAAUAAAGUAGGACUUUGGUUCUAUUUUGUUGGUUUUAGGUACCAAAGUAAUGGUUAAUAGGAACAGUUGGGGGCAUUCGUAUUUAACUGUCAGAGGAAAAUUCUUAGA
RNAcentral lists this ribosomal RNA (390 nucleotides) under Theileria orientalis. RNAcentral describes it as "SSU rRNA". It matches the Rfam family "Eukaryotic small subunit ribosomal RNA", at positions 495 to 924 of the family's 1831-position model. The record is from RNAcentral. Lineage: Eukaryota; Apicomplexa; Aconoidasida; Piroplasmida; Theileriidae.